This 463-nucleotide ribosomal RNA is filed under the name uncultured bacterium. RNAcentral describes it as "bacterial SSU rRNA". It matches the Rfam family "Bacterial small subunit ribosomal RNA", at positions 28 to 507 of the family's 1533-position model. The record is from RNAcentral.
GAUGAACGCUGGCGGCGUGCCUAACACAUGUAAGUCGAACGGGAUCCUUGGAUUCGUCUGAGGUGAGAGUGGCGAACGGGUGAGUAACACGUAGGUGACCUGCCCCAGAGAGGGGGAUAACUAUUGGAAACGAUAGCUAAUACCCCAUACGGUCCUCAGAGUUGGAUAUCUGAGGAAGAAAGCUCCGGCGCUCUGGGAGGGGCCUGCGGCCCAUCAGCUAGUUGGUAGGGUAACGGCCUACCAAGGCAGAGACGGGUAGGGGACGUGAGAGCGUGACCCCCCACACUGGCACUGACACACGGGCCAGACUCCUACGGGAGGCAGCAGUGAGGAAUCUUGCACAAUGGGCGAAAGCCUGAUGCAGCAACGCCGCGUGGAUGAUGAAGGCCUUCGGGUUGUAAAAUCCUUUUCUGGAGGAAGAGAAAGGACGGUACUCCAGGAAUAAGCGUCGGCUAACUACGUG